CCUACGGGCGGCUGCAGUGGGGAAUAUUGGACAAUGGGGGGAACUCUGAUCCAGCGACGCCGCGUGAGUGAAGAAGUAUUUCGGUAUGUAAAGCUCUAUCAGCAGGGAAGAAAGAAAUGACGGUACCUUGCUCAGAAGCCCCGGCUAACUACGUGCCAGCAGCCGCGGUAAUACGUAGGGGGCAAGCGUUAUCCGGAUUUACGGGGUGUAAAGGGAGCGUAGACGGCGAUGCAAGUCUGAAGUGAAAGGCCGGGGCCCAACCCCCGGACUGCAUUGGAAACUGUGUGGCUGGAGUGCAGAAGAGGAAAGUGGAAUUCCUAGUGUAGCGGUGAAAUGCGUAGAUAUAAGGAGGAACACCAGUGGCGAAGGCGGCUUACUGGACUGUAACUGACGUUGAGGCUCGAAAGCGUGGGGAGCAAACAGGAUUAGAUACCCUAGUAGUC
Molecule: ribosomal RNA, 443 nt
Filed under: uncultured bacterium
Lineage: Bacteria
Description: partial 16S ribosomal RNA
Rfam family: Bacterial small subunit ribosomal RNA
Source: RNAcentral